This 702-nucleotide ribosomal RNA is filed under the name Paraeuchaeta media. RNAcentral's name for it is "eukaryotic LSU rRNA". It matches the Rfam family "Eukaryotic large subunit ribosomal RNA", at positions 1 to 630 of the family's 3401-position model. Lineage: Eukaryota; Metazoa; Arthropoda; Copepoda; Calanoida; Euchaetidae. The record is from RNAcentral.
ACGUAACACUUUCGACCUGAGAUUAGAUAAGAUUACCCGCCGAAUUUAAGCAUAUUAAUAAGCGGAGGAAAAGAAAACAACUGUGAUUCCCUUAGUAAUGGCGAAUGAAACGGGAAGAGCCCAUCGCGUAACUGCAGGUCAGCUUGGCCUCGCGGGAUGUCGCGUUCGGGAGAGUCUCAUCGGGAGCCGGACGGCCAGUCAAAGUCCAACUUGACAGUCGCCAUUGCCCAUAGAGGGUGAUAGGCCCGUAAGGCGGCCGUCUGUUUCCGCUGACUUUUCCCUAGAGUCGGGUUGCUUGGGAGUGCAGCCCAAAGUGCGAGGUAAACUCCUCGUAAGGCUAAAUAUGACCCAGAGACCGAUAGCAAACAAGUACCGUGAGGGAAGAUUGAAAAGAACUUUGAAGAGAGAGUUCAAUAGUACGUGAAACUGUGUGGUGGUAAACGGAGGGGUUCUCGAAGUCUCUGUGGGGAACUCAACCUUGGUGUCGGGCGGUCUGGGCGUGUCCGAUCAGCAAUGACGGCGCGUUCUCUCCGGCUUGGCUCUCGGGUGCAUUUCCCCCGCAGUUUACGGCAGGAACCGUUUGGCUCGGACCGAAGGCCUCGGGUGAAGUUGUCGCUUAUGGUGGCAGCCCUGGGUGUCCUGGCUCUGCGCCGACGGGUACGUGAGAGGACUCGUAUAGCGAGCAACGCUCUGUGCGGUCUC